Molecule: ribosomal RNA, 439 nt
Filed under: uncultured bacterium
Lineage: Bacteria
Description: partial 16S ribosomal RNA
Rfam family: Bacterial small subunit ribosomal RNA
Source: RNAcentral
CCUACGGGUGGCAGCAGUGGGGAAUUUUGCGCAAUGGGGGAAACCCUGACGCAGCAACGCCGCGUGCGGGACGAAGGCCCUCGGGUCGUAAACCGCUUUCAGCAGGGAAGCCCACGACGGUACCUGCAGACGAAGCUCCGGCUAACUACGUGCCAGCAGCCGCGGUAAUACGUAGGGGGCGAGCGUUAUCCGGAUUCAUUGGGCGUAAAGCGCGCGUAGGCGGCCGCCUAAGCGGAACCUCUAGCCCCGGGGCUCAACCUCGGGCCGGGUUCCGGCCUGGGCGGCUCGAGUGCGGUAGAGGAGAGCGGAAUUCCCGGUGUAGCGGUGGAAUGCGCAGAUAUCGGGAAGAACACCGAGGGCGAAGGCAGCUCGCUGGGGCGGCACUGACGCUGAGGCGCGAAAGCUGGGGGAGCGAACAGGAUUAGAUACCCCUGUAGUC